CCCGGAUGAGUUGGCUUGCAAGUACCGCAUUGUCCCUUCUAAAAGUCUCCCGGUCGGGACUCGACUCCUUUCGGGGGGUUCCUUCCUUCGCGGUUCAUAUGGGGGUCCUUCCUUCCUUCCUUCGGGAGGGGGAGGGACUCUCGGACCCGGAGGCGGGGAUCCGCGCGAGCUCGAUUGGAGGAGGGUCCCGGCCCCGGGGGUAACAACCACAAUCUCGUCGAUUGCGCAAUGCAUCAACACUUUGACCCACGACUGAGUCCCUUUAAACACAGUGAGGAGUUCGGCCCCUUUUUGAACACGGGCGGGACCCUCAUUUAUAAAGAGUCCCGCCCUUGUCCCAUGGGGGGUCCGCUCCCGAGUUGUUGAAUCUAUAACUUAGAAACAACUCUCAGCAACGGAUAUCUUGGCUCUUGCAACGAUGAAGAACGCAGCGAAAUGCGAUACGUAGUGUGAAUUGCAGAAUUCCGCGAAUCAUCGAGUCUUUGNACGCAAGUUGCGCCCGAGGCUUGUCCGAGGGCAUUUCCGCUAGAGCGUCACCGCGCUCCCCCACCGACCCGCCAAGAAAGUACUUUCUUGGCGGAAUUCGUCGAGUGGAAGUGGCCGUCCCGAUGGCGGCGGACCUCGAUGAGAUCCGUCGAUCGGGUCGGCUGAAAUGGAUGGAAUUUGGCCGUCGUGGCGACGGAGCCCCGCGAUCAGGUGAUCCGAGCGAGAGCCCGGAACUCAAACGUGCGAGGCUUUCGUCGCCCAGUUGGAUUUGGAUUGGGAUGGGUUUAACAACCCCGUGUCAUGAACGAGUUCCCUCGAAAAGAAAAGCAGGUCUCAUGCGUGUUGUUGGGCCCCGUCAUGCGUGGCGGGGCGACGAUGGUACCCCCAGAGUUGUAGUAGUAACGACAUCAGA
RNAcentral lists this small RNA (898 nucleotides) under Conostomum pentastichum. RNAcentral describes it as "eukaryotic LSU rRNA". The stretch from base 384 to 536 matches the Rfam family "5.8S ribosomal RNA". The record is from RNAcentral. Lineage: Eukaryota; Viridiplantae; Streptophyta; Bryopsida; Bartramiales; Bartramiaceae.